This 253-nucleotide ribosomal RNA is filed under the name uncultured bacterium. RNAcentral's name for it is "partial 16S ribosomal RNA". It matches the Rfam family "Bacterial small subunit ribosomal RNA", at positions 524 to 776 of the family's 1533-position model. The record is from RNAcentral.
UACGGAGGGUGCAAGCGUUAUCCGGAUUUACUGGGCUUAAAGGGUUCGUAGGCGGGUAGGUAAGUCAGCUGUGAAAUCUCCGAGCUUAACUCGGAAACUGCCAUUGAUACUAUCUAUCUUGAAUGUCCUGGAGGUGAGCGGAAUAUGUCAUGUAGCGGUGAAAUGCUUAGAUAUGACAUAGAACACCAAUUGCGAAGGCAGCUCACUGCGGGAUUAUUGACACUGAGGCACGAAAGCGUGGGGAUCAAACAGG